GGAGGUGUGCCGGAGUGGCCUAACGGGCCGGUCUUGAAAACCGAUGGUGAGGGAAACCUUGCCCAAGAGUUCGAAUCUCUUCGCCUCCGCCA
RNAcentral lists this transfer RNA (92 nucleotides) under Pseudomonas fluorescens. Its description in RNAcentral is "tRNA-Ser". It matches the Rfam family "tRNA". Rfam says of the family: Transfer RNA (tRNA) molecules are approximately 80 nucleotides in length. Their secondary structure includes four short double-helical elements and three loops (D, anti-codon, and T loops). Lineage: Bacteria; Pseudomonadati; Pseudomonadota; Gammaproteobacteria; Pseudomonadales; Pseudomonadaceae. RNAcentral also lists the same sequence under 3 other names. The record is from RNAcentral.